This 2268-nucleotide long non-coding RNA is filed under the name Nicotiana benthamiana. RNAcentral describes it as "long non-coding RNA (NBEN_LNC007784)". The record is from RNAcentral. Lineage: Eukaryota; Viridiplantae; Streptophyta; Magnoliopsida; Solanales; Solanaceae.
UUUAAGGCUAAGCACUACAAAAAGUCACUUUCAUUUAAUUUCCCCAAGAACAUAGAUGUGCAUUUAUUAAUAUAUGUGUAUUAUGUUUGAUAUGAUUUUAUUUAAUUUGGCCCGAAUGGUUUCGAAAGUAAUUAUCUUGUUUGCCUGCCUUGUUUCACCUUUAUUUGCUUUCUUAAAAAGCUUUUAAGUUCACUAUUUGCAGUUUUUCAAAUCUCAAACUUAGGGCUUGAUUCCACCACUUUCCAGCCUCAUAUAUUUGAGAAUGAAAAACUGGAACAUUCUUAUUUUAAUAAGUUCACUAUAUAUGAUAAACCUGCUCUGCUACCCCAAAGCUCCCACUUUUUGCGGAACCAAGUCAGACACCUUCUCCACCAGAUACAAACAGUAAGUCACAUGAACCACUUAGGUCCUUUUACAAAAAGUAAAUGGCACGAGAUGAAAAGCUACAAAAUUAAACAUCUUGCUACCUUAUAUAUGACACCAUGCUAAACGUACUUAAUAUAACAGCUUUAUCAAAAAAAGAAAAAUCCUUAAUAUAAUAGACAUAACCUGCUGAAAUACACUUCCCAUUAAUUUUUAACCUUUACUAAGGCUGUUCUAGAUUGUCCUUACAAACCUAUGCAAACAUUGUUGCCAGUUUUAUCAAAAGUGAAAAGCGCAAAAAACCUGUAACUCUGUUGGUGCAAAGCGCAAAUAAAGCGCGGGCUUUAAAGAAGAAACAUGCAAAUGAAGAAAAACUACAAAUAUGUAUAUGUAUUCCAAGACUAAAGUAAAAUAUCAAUUGUUUAGUAUCGUCUCUUCAAUAUUACGCUAAUUAGCAAGUAAAAGUACGAUUUACAGCCUUGAUGGCAACGUUGAAGCGCCCACUAUGCGAGGCGAAGUGCUCAAUUUGAGCCUUGCUUCAGAGCUUAAGCGCGCCUUUAAUAACACUGAUUGUUGGUACAUAGUCAUUUGGUCAGAAAUAUGGCACUCCUUUAAACUUGUUUCAGACAGAGAAAUCACUCACUUUCAGUAAUUAACUAGUGAAUUUACUCAAAACUUAUUAUAACGUAUAUCCAAAAUAACUGUUGAAAAAGCUAUCAAACAACAAAACGAGUGAUAUAAUGAAGUACUGGCCUUAAAGAACUUUGAAGAGCUGCGAUAGUAGCAGUAGAAAUACAUUUUACUAAUUAGUGGAGAAAAAAGCAUCUGUAACACUUAACCAACUAGUGAUAUAAAAAAGAAGAAAAAGCAAUUACACCCAAAGAAAAGUAUCUAUAUUCACUCGAUGUAGAACAAUAUAGACAUGUAAAUGAUAUGCAAAAGUAUAAGACAUUAAGAUUGAGCUCUAUCAACAUUUUCCAGCUACUAAAUUUGGAGUAAAUGAGGUCUUACAUUUGAUCUUCCUUCAAAUUACAUCCACUGCAUCUACGUUUGUGUGCAAACCAUACCUAACUCCAAUUUCUAUCAUCAAUCAAUUUUUUUCCUUUUAACUAUUUGCAACUUUUAAGUUAUUCUUUACACCCAAGGAGCCCACAGUGAGAUGCACACCAAAUUUAUGCAAAAGCUGUUCCCAGUCCCUCAAUUAAAUUAUGUUUUAAAACACUCAUAUCUUGAAAAAUGAAAAUCAGAGAUAUCCAAUGAAACACCGGAAUUUUUUUCUUUUUCAAACAUACACACUACAGACGUUAAAAUGAAUUUUAAAUACUCCACUGCAUUAAAUAAUCAAUUUUAGCUACAGAAUAAUAUUCCACUGCAUUAGAUAAUCAAUUUCAGAUCGUUAUUCGGCUGAUUUGCGAAAUAAAUUAGGUCUUCUCCAGUCACACAGAUCAUUACUUGAAGUUGAAUAUACUUCCAACUGAAAACUAAAAACGUAAACAUAUUUUCACAAAGAAAAUGCAAAAAAUGUCAGUUGAAGUUGAAUAUACUUCCAAAUGAAAACUAAAAACGUAAACAUAUUUUCACAAAGAAAAUGCAAAAAAAUGUCACUGACCAUUUAUAGCUUCAUUAUUGCGAUCUUGAAUGGAGAUGAGAUCAGUAGGGAAGUUAAAGUCAUCAGCGGCUAAAGACGAAGACGGCGCUACGUUUCCUUCGAUCAUCGCCAUCGUCGAACUCGAUGGCCUCGCUGGCGACGAUGUCAGGGAACUGCCUGUACUCAUUUUCCCUCUACUUUUCCCCUCCUCCUAUCCGAAAAUACAAGCAAAACCGUAUAGAAACCACAAUCCGCUUUAACUUUCCUACAUUGUUUUUCGAGGUUAAUUUAUUAAAUAGUUAUAUGUCGGAUUUGCC